RNAcentral lists this long non-coding RNA (1153 nucleotides) under Anas platyrhynchos platyrhynchos (common mallard). RNAcentral's name for it is "lncRNA (ENSAPLG00000028529.1)". Lineage: Eukaryota; Metazoa; Chordata; Aves; Anseriformes; Anatidae. The record is from RNAcentral.
UUUGCACUGCUGUAAUUUAGAUCAGAAUCUGGAUGUGUAUGUAAAUGCGUGCAUGUAUGCACACAUGCAGCAACUGCUCUCUUAGGUAUCUCCGUAGACCUUCAUUUUACAAUGAAAAAUGAAUGGGAGGGUGAAUCUACACGUUGAUUAUUUUUAUGCUGAACAAUUUGAGUGUCACUGAGAUGAAGCAGGUAAAUACUUUCAGGCUGUGGAUGGAUUUUGGAGUUGUGCAUGUACACACCCCCCUUUUCAAUACAUUUUGGCUGUUGGUGCUGGGCAGCAACUCCUCUGUCCACCUGACACAACGCUGGGUUUCCUGCGUGCCUUAAGUCUCCUUUUUAUUUCACCUCAGGGAAAAUGGAGGCGGGGGUGUGAAAGAAAGAGAGGAAGAAAGAAAGAACAAGGGGGGGGCCUGGAGGGGCUUAAAGGCAGGCCCCAUCCCAGCAGCCCUCCCACCCCCCGCGUCUCCAUCGCCAGCCCCAAGCCGGAACGCAUUUGAGCAGAGCUGCCCCGGCUCUAUCAUCUGCAGCGUGCAGAGUCAUCACGGCCGCAGUGCAUAGCUGAGAGCCGGAAAGCAAACAGCUGCUGUAGCCUGAUUUGAGUUAAAAUAGUGUCAGUGUUUAGUCUGGCGCACUGCUUCAGGAGAGAUUGGCAGCUGGGUCAAACAAAGUCAUUCCAUUGGCUCCCUUCCCAGCCAGCUUCUGCUAGUAUUUAGGUACUAGUGCAGCCUAGGCCCCUUUUCUCAGGGAUAGCCUAACAUCUGACCGCACCCUCCUUGCUGUUUAAAAAAUGCCUUUUCACUCUUUAAGAUAAAUCCACUAUUAGACAAUCUGCCACUAAUAGUGCAGUAAGGCUGUUUUUCUCCCAAAAGCCGACGCAUCCCGCUCCCGCCGCGGUGCAGAAAGCAGGCUGUUACAGUGCCGGAUUCAUAAAAGGGGCCUUUAUGGCUGGUGAAAGAAUAUCUGUGUGCUUAGGCCGGAAACUUUUUGAUCCAGUGCAAAGCCAGACGACACCUAGAGUAAGAGAAGCCAACUUUAGGAGCAUGCUCAUACCCUCAGUGGUAGAGUCUACCUACUGUGUCCCCAAUGUUGGCAGACAGCAAGCAGAAAUUAAUGGUCAUUUAUUGGAAUCCUUUGACUUCAUGAUAUGGUGA